RNAcentral lists this transfer RNA (74 nucleotides) under Dermacentor andersoni. RNAcentral describes it as "transfer RNA isoleucine (anticodon AAU)". It matches the Rfam family "tRNA". Rfam says of the family: Transfer RNA (tRNA) molecules are approximately 80 nucleotides in length. Their secondary structure includes four short double-helical elements and three loops (D, anti-codon, and T loops). Further hydrogen bonds mediate the characteristic L-shaped molecular structure. tRNAs have two regions of fundamental functional importance: the anti-codon, which is responsible for specific mRNA codon recognition, and the 3' end, to which the tRNAs corresponding amino acid is attached (by aminoacyl-tRNA synthetases). tRNAs cope with the degeneracy of the genetic code in two manners: having more than one tRNA (with a specific anti-codon) for a particular amino acid; and 'wobble' base-pairing, i.e. permitting non-standard base-pairing at the 3rd anti-codon position. The record is from RNAcentral. Lineage: Eukaryota; Metazoa; Arthropoda; Arachnida; Ixodida; Ixodidae.
GGCCUGCUAGCUCAGUCGGUUAGAGCGUCGUGCUAAUAACGCGAAGGUCAUAGGUUCGAUCCCUACGCAGGCCA